Non-coding RNA from Petromyzon marinus (sea lamprey), 4981 nucleotides. The record is from RefSeq and is a predicted model, not a curated record. Lineage: Eukaryota; Metazoa; Chordata; Hyperoartia; Petromyzontiformes; Petromyzontidae.
AUAUGUACUUUUAACGUAUUCGCGCACCGUAUACGUAGCCGACCGUGAAAAUCAGAGGUCAAUCAAUCGAUAUCGGCCCGAUUUUCUAAACUGAAUCGGGUCGCAGGGACAGCCACUCCACCAAGGCCCUUCCUCCAUCCUGCCCUGUCCUCCGCCAGCAGCAUCAACUGUGGCUCCCGGAUCCUCAGCCAGGCGCACCACCCCGGUCUAUCCAGCACGAUCGCGAGCGGCCUCUGGGUCUUUUGCCUGGGGGACGUCCUUCGAACCUCUCCCGGGGAGGAGUCUUUCUUUCGGCAUCCUUAGCAGAUGACCCAUCCACCGUAGCUGGCUUCGCUGCACGCUCAGUAGUGCCGACUGGACGUCGAGUCUCUGGCGCAUAGCCCGGGGGAGAGAGAGAGAGAGCCCUGCCACUCUGCGCAGGAAGUCCAUUUCUGUCGCUUGCACCCUUGAGCGCGUAUCCGUCAGGAUCCAGGUUUCGUGACCCUGGGUCAGGAUCGGGACGAAUAUUGACCGAUAGACCGAGAGCUUUGCCUGAAGGCUCGGCUCCCGUCUUGAGACCACAGACCGCUUCAUCGUCCCCAUUGCUGCGGUCGCCGCUCCGAUCCGGGCUUUGAUUUCCUUUUCCCUUGUUCCAUCCCUCGAGAAAUGCACCUCGAGGUACGGGAAGACUUCGACCUCCUCCACGACUUCCCCGUUGAUGAAGAGGGACUCUGCCACUCCAGUCCGCAGCCAGAGCCAUGGUCUUGGUUUUGACGGUGCUAAUCGGAGGUGCGUGACGUCAUUUAUGGACGGCCUCAGUGGACAGAUGACGUGGGGUGGCGUUUCAUGCGGGCACUCGCACGUCUUCCAAGACGUCUGGCCAGCGAUGAAGAGUCGGCCAAUGAUUCUCUAGAGGGGAUGUAUUGAGCUCCCGUGCAUGGAGGACCUUCAUCCAGCAGUGGAGGCUCCAUGAAAAGAGUCGCGCGCGGAAGUGAAGUUGGCUCCCGGUGGCAGACGAGUUCAAGCAGGAGGAGGAGACGCAGAUUUCCGGAGCGGACCAGUGCCCUCGCUCGGGAACGUUGAGUUUUAGCGAUUCGCAUUGAUUAAAGCCACCGUGGCUCCGACGCGUUAGGGGCCACUCACGGCGUGGGCAGUGGGAGACAAAUGACGUUGUUUUUGAUCAUGGAGCUCAUCCACUUUACUCCCGACGAGCGCGCCGCAAGAUGAGCUACUGUCAGGAAGAUUAAAGGCCGCGAACUUGUUCGCUUGCUUCAUUUGUCAGACUGCCCUAAUUUAAUAAGACAGGAAAGUCAUAUUUCUACAGUUUCGCGUUGCCAACUUGAAAUACUAAUGGGCACGAUUUGAAUAUUUACACCUGUUGGGUUGCAAUAUGUGUUCAUUUUUUGCAACGUUUGCGAAAAAAAUCGUCGCAAUUCAAUCUAAUUUCUCCGACAAAUGUGUCACAAAUGUUGUUGCCAUAAUAAAUACGCUUAUUUACCACCAGCCGACGUUUCACGCAAAUAAUAUUCGACCAUUAAAGCCUCUAUCAAUUCAUGAAUUCUUGGAUUAUAAAACCUCUCGAAUGACGGUGGGGUAACCUCUGGGUUUGUAGCAAACGAAUGGCUUUUCAAAGUGAACCCUAAUUAGUCUUGCGAGAGACCCGCGUUAGCCUCCUCUGAAAUCCCCCCAGAGAGACACGACCGUCCGUGAGCGCCACACCUGCUUCACCAGCGAGCCUAAUUUAUCAAUUACAAGCAAGUCUCUAUUUUAUUGUCUAAUACUAGAAAUUACCGGAUCGGAUAAUGCUUCGCCUGGCAGCUUACGGUGGGCCCAUUAGUGAGACACGGAGAUAGCCAUCAGUGUAAGAAGCACUUCACCUGUAAUUGUGGGCUUGGGUUACGGCCACUAAAACACCUGCGGGGUUGCUGCAAAGCGGCGCUCGACCGCAUCGGCAGCGGCGCGUGUCACAGACACACACACGGACAAAACUUUCUCCCCAACCUCCCCACCCUUCCCAACAGCGACGCAGGCUCGCUCGCUCGCUCGGUCGGUCGCGCGUAGGAGGAGGGUUUCUGUGAGGGCCGCCAGACCACGAUCGGCACUGACACAAACCGCUUUAUUUAGCCCCGGCCGUCUGAAGCUGAUAAUCAAAGAAUGCUCGCGAGCCAUCAAAGAGAGCCAACCGCCACUGUUGUGACCGGUAACAAUGGUGCAUUGUUGAUGGCUACCGACCGUACGAGCCUAUGCUGUCAUUUUGAACUGAUGGACAUUAAUGGUGGAGUUGCCGGGUGCUUUCGUUGGCUAAGAGAUUGCGUCUCUGCCUUUCAAUUGAAUUCGCUCGUUAUUGAAGCGCCAAAAGAGGCGGGCGAAAGGCAUCUUCGUGGCAUCGAACGUCAAAAGUGCGCGUCUCCCUGCUCGACGAGCAACGGGGCCUAGAGCUGAUCCUAGCGUUGGUAGCCUUGAGGCAGUGGUGGCUCAAAAAACAAUCCUCGUUCCCAUGACAGGACCCGGUUUCGUCAAUGGGAUGACGACCGUUGGACUUCCCACAAAGCGACGCUCUAUUUCCAUGGACCCGUGAAGGAUUACGGGCUGAGUGGACACUAACCUUCCAUUCGCCAGUCAAGCGCUCUGUCACCGCAGCCCUUUCCAAGUGAAUUUGACAACAAAAGUAUGAAAAGCAUGGCCAUUGUGUGAGCGGACGAGGGCAGACAGAGGAGCCUUCUGUUGCGACUCACGUCCGAACGUGAUGUUUGCCAGUUUGCAAACAAGCCAAAUUCAUGUUUUGUUCCUUAUCGACGGGAACGUUUUACAUUCCCGAAUUAAGGGGGAUCACAUUGAACACUGCGAUAAUGCAGAUUUUUUUUAAAACGUCUAUCUGUGACUCGAACGCACGACUCUGCCGAGCACACUGCAACAACCGAGAACUGCCACGCUCACUCCAAACAGCUUUUUGCAUUCAAUUGGCACACUCCUGGACUGAACGCUGGCAAACGUGCCAGUCCUCAAAACAUCGCUCGCAUACUUAAUCCCUUGUUCGUACGUCGUAUCGUGCCAUCAUUGUUUGUAUUAGCCUGCCAAUGCAAGCCGUUCUUGCAGAUUAAUUCGGAUGACGAUCGUACGCGUUGUCUAUCGAUUUGCAGAACUCCUGUUUUCCGCAAAUGCAUUACCCACGACUCCUAUUAUCCGCGGCAGCCGCAUAUUGCACGGAAGCGCCUCUCACCUGUGGCCCUAUUCUACCAGUUAUAUGCGACUAUUUUCCGCGGAUAAGUGGAGUAAAAUCAGGAAUAUCUCAAUGGGAAAUUAAGUCUGGAAUAUUGGCCCUCUACUUCACGAAUAGGAUGAGUCAUGUAAAUACGUUUUUUUUCGUUUGUGGUAACAUUUAGAACAAAGGAUGUUUCAGGAGCUGGCGCACAAGGUCCCCACUGUUGGAGACACACGCUGGCAUAAAAGGCAGCACGGGGAGUUGCUCACCGCUGAGAACGUUGCUCGGGAGACACUCUCCUUGCAACGCCAGGUGUCUGAAACGCCUGUACAAACACGUGUUGCAGUUUUGCAACAUGGUGACACGCUGCGUUGAGGGGGUUAGCGGCAGGCGAGGGAGGAGUGGGGUAAGGAUGAUGGGGAGCUCCGCACCAAAAAAGCCAAACGCCCCACGCGUAGCAUGUUUAUUUCAUUCCACUGAACUUGUCGUACGAACCAAGGAACUCGAAAUGCAGACAUUUCCCUUGGCCAAUGCCAACUUGUCCUAGGAUUACCGGGCGUUUGUUUUUGUGUUUUUUCUCUCGCUUGGGUUAAAAGGUGUGGGCGACGUACAUUUACCAAUGACAUCAUGGUUAAUGUAUUCUAUUUCAAAUCUCACACACGUUUUCAUUACAUGCUACAUUAGCCACAGCCAAAUUGUGCAUUUGCCCUCCCGAAUGUAGGGAAGAAAAAUAAACAACAAGGCCUUUGGAACGAUCUGUCUGAACGUGAAUUAUUGAAAACGGCUCAAUCGCAACAAAAAAACCUACUACCAACAGAACUUUCCAGCUGAGUCGCCACUGUUGCGUCCGACUGAUGACUCGCACGCCGAGCCAAGUACAUCAAAAACAGAUGCAAUCAGAGCUCGGACGGGAUAAGCGUGGCCGUAUUGACUUGCGUAGGUGAGCGCCUUGGCAUCGUCAUCCGAUACUUGUGAAAACAGAGCCGUGGCUGAGAACAGCAUGACCUGUGCUGCAACAGAAGCCCCGGUGUUACGGGGAGGGCUGCAGCGACGGGACUCUGCGCAGACCACGGCAGCGCGUACAGACACACACGGGCUGGGUGGCACCACUAGCCGCUAACGACUCAACAACAACAACAUGGGCCACGUAGCAAGCGUGGCGGUGUUCGCAUGUUUCGUCCAUGUGGCACGAGUAGCAAACGUGUGGAAGUUGCUGCCAAAUUUAAGUUGCGGUUGAAUUCACCCCUAAACCCCCCCCCCCCCCCAUUUUUGUGUUCAUUUAUUUUCUAGGCCUUCCCUUCUCCACGCAAAAGCCUUCACAACCCCGCUCGCAGUCGUUGUGUCCCCCUACGUUGCCGCUCGAAGUUCCCACGUAAGCCCCCAAUCUUGCCAGAACCGAGGGGCACCGACUUCGAACUUGCCCGCGGUGCCUUUGCCGUAUUACGGUUCGUGCCUUUUACGGAGCUCUUGUCGAAUAACUAAACAAUUUAACAACAACAACAACAAAAGCCAGUUCGCCGGUGCUGCUGCAUGCUGCCUGUGCUGAUCGUCGCGUCCGCUCCACCCAAAAAACGUUGGCGCUUGACGACCGCCCCCGUGUAGGUUUGGGCGUGGGCCAUUAACUUGUUUUGUUUUAUUUUCUUAGUACAAACCUCGACGAUGUUGAGCGGCGUGUUUUAUUGUUGCUGUUACUCGGGAAUUCUCGGCGUACAUCGUCACGGGCAAAGAGUGAAACGGCACAGACAAGGCCCUGAGUGGGCUUCAAUUUACUCGCUCAAAUCACUGCGAACAAAAUAAAUG